UGGUUGAUCCUGCCAGUAGUCAUAUGCUUGUCUCAAAGAUUAAGCCAUGCAAGUCUAAGUAUAAGCACUUAUACUGUUAAACUGCGGAAAGCUCAUUAUAUCAGUUAUAGUUUAUUUGAUGGUAAACCCACUACAUGGAUAACCGUAGUAAUUCUAGAGCUAAUACAUGCCUUGAAGCGGUAACUUCGGAAGCCGUGGACUUAUUAGAUCAAGAGCUGACCCUUUUCGGAGGAACAAGCUGAAUCAUAGUAAUUUCGCUAAUCGCAGUGGUUUUGUGCCGGCGAUGGGUCAUUCAAAUUUCUGCCCUAUCAGCUGUGAUGUUAGUGUAGUGGACUAACAUGGCAUAAACGGGUGACGGAGGAUUAGGGUCUGAUUCCGGAGAGGGAGCCUGAGAAAUGGCUACCACUUCCAAGGAAGGCAGCAGGCGCGUAAAUUACCCAAUCCCGAUACGGGGAGGUAGUGACAAGAAAUAGCAAUACCGGAUCUUUUAAGAUCUGGUAAUUGGAAUGAGUACAAUCUAAAAUCCUUAACAAGGACCCCUUGGAGGGCAAGUCUGGU
RNAcentral lists this ribosomal RNA (558 nucleotides) under uncultured Cercozoa. RNAcentral's name for it is "bacterial SSU rRNA". It matches the Rfam family "Eukaryotic small subunit ribosomal RNA", at positions 5 to 565 of the family's 1831-position model. Lineage: Eukaryota; Cercozoa. The record is from RNAcentral.